Molecule: long non-coding RNA, 514 nt
Organism: Pistacia vera
Lineage: Eukaryota; Viridiplantae; Streptophyta; Magnoliopsida; Sapindales; Anacardiaceae
Exons: 3
Source: RefSeq, a predicted model, not a curated record
UUGUUAGGAACUCUUCUGCCGUCAAUUGGGAAUUUGACAAAGCUUUUGAACCUGUAAGAUCAAUUUUGCAAAAGCAUCACUAACUUACAUAUACGACAUAUGAUUUACCUAUUGAUCUCCCUUGCCUGCCAGAUUGCUAACCAGCUGCAGCUUCCAUGGCCUAAUUCUAGACACAUUAGGAUCUCUAACACAGCUGAUCAAUUAAAAUCUGAAUUCGAAUAGCUUCAGUGGACCUAUAUCAGCUUCCAUUAGUGAUGUUACCAAACUUGUUUUGCUGGAUUUGACUGAUUUAUCAGCUCAAUGGAACAAUUCCAGUCUCUGGUGAAACUUCACCUGGAUUGGAUGGACUAGUUAAUGCAUUGCACUUUCAUUUUGGAAGAAAUUAGCUCACAGGACCAAUCUUGCUUUCUGAUGAAACUACAAAGAUGAAGGUGUAUGGAAGGAAAGGUAAGGGAGUUGGCAGUAGAUAAAACAGGAGUUAGACAGGAAGAUUCUUAUUGUAAAAAGGUGUUAA